Molecule: ribosomal RNA, 417 nt
Filed under: uncultured bacterium
Lineage: Bacteria
Description: bacterial SSU rRNA
Rfam family: Bacterial small subunit ribosomal RNA
Source: RNAcentral
GGGGAAUAUUGCACAAUGGACGAAAGUCUGAUGCAGCGACGCCGCGUGAGGGAUGAAGGCCUUCGGGUUGUAAACCUUUUUCGCCCCUGAACAAGGCAUCACUUUGGUGGUGUUGAGGGUAGGGGGUAAAGAAGCUCCGGCUAACUACGUGCCAGCAGCCGCGGUAAUACGUAGGGAGCGAGCGUUGUCCGGAAUUAUUGGGCGUAAAGGGCUUGUAGGUGGCUUGUCGCGUCUGCCGUGAAAGGCUUCAGCUUAACUGGAGUAGUGCGGUGGGUACGGGCUGGCUUGAGUGUGGUAGGGGAGAUUGGAAUUCCUGGUGUAGCGGUGGAAUGCGCAGAUAUCAGGAGGAACACCGGUGGCGAAGGCGGAUCUCUGGGCCAUUACUGACACUGAGGAGCGAAAGCGUGGGGAGCGAAC